RNAcentral lists this ribosomal RNA (301 nucleotides) under uncultured bacterium. RNAcentral's name for it is "partial 16S ribosomal RNA". It matches the Rfam family "Bacterial small subunit ribosomal RNA", at positions 509 to 807 of the family's 1533-position model. The record is from RNAcentral.
CAGUCGCCGCGGUAAUACGGAGGGUGCAAGCGUUAUCCGGAUUUAUUGGGUUUUAAGGGUCCGUAGGCGGAUCUGUAAGUCAGUGGUGAAAUCUCACAGCUUAACUGUGAAACUGCCAUUGAUACUGCAGGUCUUGAGUAAAUUUGAAGUGGCUGGAAUAAGUAGUGUAGCGGUGAAAUGCAUAGAUAUUACUUAGAACACCAAUUGCGAAGGCAGGUCACUAAGAUUUAACUGACGCUGAUGGACGAAAGCGUGGGGAGCGAACAGGAUUAGAUACCCGAGUAGUCCCUGUCUCUUAUAC